RNAcentral lists this ribosomal RNA (253 nucleotides) under uncultured bacterium. RNAcentral's name for it is "partial 16S ribosomal RNA". It matches the Rfam family "Bacterial small subunit ribosomal RNA", at positions 524 to 776 of the family's 1533-position model. The record is from RNAcentral.
UACAGGGGGGGCAAGCGUUGUUCGGAAUUACUGGGCGUAAAGGGCCAGUAGGCGGCCAACUAAGUCCGACGUGAAAUCCCCAGGCUUAACCUGGGAACUGCGUCGGAUACUGGAUGGCUUGAAUUCGGGAGAGGGAUGCAGAAUUCCAGGUGUAGCGGUGAAAUGCGUAGAUAUCUGGAGGAGUACCGGUGGCGAAGGCGGCAUCCUGGACCGACAUUGACGCUGAACGGCGAAAGCUAGGGGAGCAAACGGG